UUUCGAAUCAUUCACAAUGGGCGAAAGCCUGAUGGUGCGACGCCGCGUGAGGGAUGAAGGUCUUCGGAUCGUAAACCUCUGUCACCGGGGAAGAAACGCUAUGCGAUAAUAUCGCCUAGCCUGACUUAACCCGGAGAGGAAGCAGUGGCUAACUCUGUGCCAGCAGCCGCGGUAAUACAGAGACUGCAAGCGUUAUUCGGAUUCACUGGGCGUAAAGGGUGCGCAGGCGGCCGUGUGUGUGAGGUGUGAAAUCCCGGAGCUUAACUCCGGAACUGCGCCUCAAACUACACGGCUAGAGCAUUGGAGAGGGAAGUGGAAUUCACGGUGUAGCAGUGAAAUGCGUAGAUAUCGUGAGGAACACCAGAGGCGAAGGCGACUUCCUGGACAAUUGCUGACGCUCAGGCACGAAAGCGUGGGGAGCAAAAG
This 426-nucleotide ribosomal RNA is filed under the name uncultured bacterium. RNAcentral's name for it is "bacterial SSU rRNA". It matches the Rfam family "Bacterial small subunit ribosomal RNA", at positions 355 to 774 of the family's 1533-position model. The record is from RNAcentral.